Molecule: ribosomal RNA, 403 nt
Filed under: uncultured bacterium
Lineage: Bacteria
Description: bacterial SSU rRNA
Rfam family: Bacterial small subunit ribosomal RNA
Source: RNAcentral
UGGGGAAUCUUGCACAAUGGGGGAAACCCUGAUGCAGCGACGCCGCGUGAGUGAUGAAGCCCUUCGGGGUGUAAAGCUCUUUCGGCAGGGACGAUAAUGACGGUACCUGAAGAAGAAGCUGCGGCUAACUACGUGCCAGCAGCCGCGGUAAUACGUAGGCAGCGAGCGUUGUUCGGAGUUACUGGGCGUAAAGAGUGCGUAGGCGGUUUUCUAAGUUUGGUGUGAAAUCUCCCGGCUUAACUGGGAGGGUGCGCCGAAGACUGGAAGGCUUGAGUAUGGGAGAGGUAAGCGGAAUUCCUGGUGUAGCGGUGAAAUGCGUAGAUAUCAGGAGGAACACCUGCGGUGUAGACGGCUUACUGGACCAUAACUGACGCUGAGGCACGAAAGCGUGGGUAGCAAACAG